Molecule: ribosomal RNA, 465 nt
Filed under: uncultured bacterium
Lineage: Bacteria
Description: partial 16S ribosomal RNA
Rfam family: Bacterial small subunit ribosomal RNA
Source: RNAcentral
CCUACGGUGCGCAGCAGUAGGGAAUCUUCCACAAUGGGCGAAAGCCUGAUGGAGCAACGCCGCGUGGGUGAAGAAGGUCUUCGGAUCGUAAAACCCUGUCGUUAGAGAAGAAAGUGCGUGUGAGUAACUGUUCAAGUUUCGACGGUAUCUAACCAGAAAGCCACGGCUAACUACGUGCCAGCAGCCGCGGUAAUACGUAGGUGGCAAGCGUUAUCCGGAAUUAUUGGGCGUAAAGGGAACGCAGGCGGACGUUUAAGUCUGAUGUGAAAGCCUUCGGCUUAACCGGGGUAGUGCAUUGGAAACUGGGAGACUUGAGUGCAGAAGAGGAGAGUGGAACUCCAUGUGUAGCGGUGAAAUGCGGAGAUAUAUGGAAGAACACCAGUGGCGAAAGCGGCUCACUGGUCUGUAACUGACGCUGAGGUUCGAAAGCGUGGGUAGCAAACAGGAUUAGAUACCCCUGUAGUC